CCAAGUUUAUUAAAAAAUACACCAUGGGAAAAAACAGAGACCUGGUGGAGUUCUCGCUGUGUUCACGUGCUGAGUGACUGAGAGGCGCACAGCCUCACAUGCAUGCACACGUGAUGUGUUCAUUCAGGGAGGGAGGGCUUUGUCCUCCUUGCCUAGGCUCAACCCAAGAGCUAGGAGAAAAAUAACAGCAGGCAUGGGAGGUGGGGCAUCCAGAGCAGUGAGGCAUAGCCUGCUACACUCUCUUUAUGCAGGUGUCACUGGGCAGGGAUCUGAGGAGGCGCUGGGCCAGGGCUUCCAGAGCAGAGGGAACUGCAGGCUCCUGAGGCUAGAGGCCAGGAGGUCAGCAGGGAGGCAGGAGGAAGGGAAGGAAGGGGAGGAGUGGGAGGAGGUGGGGCCACAGACACCCUUGGGGCCAGCAGUGUCGGCCUUCAGAGGCCCUGGAAGGACCUUGGCUUCCCCCCAGGCAGUGGAGUCCAAUGCAUUCUGCCUUCAGUCUUCCAUGACCUUUAUCUCAGCUCCUCCUCAGCACGUGACAGGAGGCUCCCUAGGGGCACACCGCGUGCCUGUGCCUCCCCGCGCCAAAGCUGGACUCCAUGAGUCCACAGCACCAUUCUGCUCAGUAGGUUGUGCAAACAGGAGAAUGACGCAAGCCGACCUCACCGGCGUCUUCUGUCCUGGGCCAAGUCCGCUUGCUGGCACCUCUGCAGCCUGCGUGCAGCAUUCCGCAGGGCUCCUUCUGACUGACUGCUCGUAUUCCACGCUUCUCCUCAUCCUGCCAAACAGGGAAGCUGCACAGCCCUGCCCCAGUACAGACCCCAGAGACUGUCGAGGAGAAUGCAGAGGCUUCACCAAGCAUUGCCUCAGGACCCCUGAGCCCCGACACACAAGAGACAUCUACCUGGUCCAGUCUCCCAGAGCAGUCCACAGACCGUGA
This is a long non-coding RNA of Callithrix jacchus (white-tufted-ear marmoset), 934 nucleotides long. The record is from Ensembl. Lineage: Eukaryota; Metazoa; Chordata; Mammalia; Primates; Cebidae.